This is a long non-coding RNA of Bactrocera tryoni, 787 nucleotides long. RefSeq lists it as uncharacterized. The record is from RefSeq and is a predicted model, not a curated record. Lineage: Eukaryota; Metazoa; Arthropoda; Insecta; Diptera; Tephritidae. The transcript is spliced from 2 exons.
CGCAAGCAAGCUGCGAAAAGAAAAAUCAAAGAUGACGAGAUUAUGGCAAAAACAAAAAAACUCUCUUCUUAUUUUGUGCUUCAAGGAAAUCAAAGUGACACGGAAUCUACGAAACAAAUAUAGUCAAACAUAUCCGACAACUUCAAUUUCACAUUCAGUGACGACCCUGCGGAAUGGCUCAUAAAUGACGCAUUACGUGAUUAUAUCGCUAAACAUAAUUAUAAAAGAAAUGACCAUCUUGAUUUUUCGCAGCCAAAAUUCAAGCCGGUAUUUGAAUUCAUCUACGUUCGAAAGAAGACUUUUAAAUGGUGAAAAAACUCCCCGUGAUUGGUUAGUAUAUUCUCUGAGCAAAGGAUCGAUAUGUUGUGCUCCAUGCCUUCUUUUUGGCGGCGAUUCUACUUUUUCUAAAAAAGAUGGCUAUAGUGAUUGGAAAAAUGCGGCAAUAAGAAUAAAUCAGCAUGAAAAUUCUGAAAAGCAUCAAAGUUGCUUGAAACUUCUAAAAGAUAGAGCCAGUGCUUUUGGUCGAAUCGACAAAACUUUGCUCGCUGAAUAUGACAAAGAAGUAGUUUACUGGAAAAAUGUUUUAAAACGAGUCGUCGCUGUCAUUAAGAGUUUAGCUUCACGUGGACUGCCUUUUAGAAGACAUGAUGAAAAGUUGGUUCUCUUCACAACGGAAACUAUUUGAUGCUUUUUGAAUUGAUAUCUGAAUUUGAUCCAUUUUUAGCUGAGCAUAUUUCGAAAUUCGGAAAUAAAGGUAUCGGUAGUACCAGUUAUCUGUCAAAAACGA